CAACAAAAGCAUGCAACAAAAGCAUGCCUCCGAAGGCGUUGGCUCUGCACAUUCAGGUUUGCCAGUUAAAAGAGUCAACAUCUUCGAAUGAAGAGUCUGUUUUACCAUGUCCGAAAUGUCAGAUGAAAUUUCCUGUAGACAAAUUGAAAUGCAUGCCAGCCUGUGUGGAGAAGAAAAUCAAUUGGAGUCUUUGGAUCACAGCAAAGUGAUGAUUCUGCUGAUGAUACAGUAUAAUGUGCAAUUCAAGCUCUCAACAAGUGUUAUGUUUAGAAGAUCUUCUGGAGCUGCUUGCUAGCCGUAUAAAUGAAGAAAACCAAUUCCACAUUUGUGUUUCACGUGACAAUUUACUAAAGAGGGGGCUCAAGCAGUGGCAAAGACAAAAGAAAGGAAAUCCAAACAACCAGCUAAAGGUAACCUUCAUCGGUGAAGCUGGAGUCGACUCUGGUGCAUUACGGAAGGAGUUUCUUA
Hemibagrus wyckioides is the source of this 468-nucleotide long non-coding RNA. RefSeq lists it as uncharacterized. NCBI's taxonomy places the organism in Eukaryota, Metazoa, Chordata, Actinopteri, Siluriformes, Bagridae. The transcript has 4 exons. The record is from RefSeq and is a predicted model, not a curated record.